UUAAAAUUGAAUUUCGAGCAAAAGAAAAAUUGUUUACCUUUUUUGGCGAUCGGAAAAAGCUCCGGUGUGGCGGCGGGUGGCGGCGGUGUCCUUCCGGUGGCCGGGUCUUCUUCUCCGGCGAGGGAGUCUGGCAACUAGGGUUAGGGUUUGGUGUGGAUGAGGGUUAUUUAUAUCCGUUCGCUUUUGAUCUGUAUCAUCUAUCGCGUUUGAUCUGGACCGUCCGAUCGCGAUUAAAUAGGGAGUGAAUCUGGAUCGUU
This 257-nucleotide long non-coding RNA is filed under the name Carica papaya (papaya). RNAcentral describes it as "long non-coding RNA (CPAP_LNC001001)". The record is from RNAcentral. Lineage: Eukaryota; Viridiplantae; Streptophyta; Magnoliopsida; Brassicales; Caricaceae.